This is a long non-coding RNA of Musca domestica (house fly), 856 nucleotides long. RefSeq lists it as uncharacterized. The record is from RefSeq and is a predicted model, not a curated record. Lineage: Eukaryota; Metazoa; Arthropoda; Insecta; Diptera; Muscidae. The transcript has 2 exons.
UCUAUGCGAUAUUUUUGGUAAUCCCAAAAUUUUAUGAUCCCAAAUAAACGAAAGGACAAAAAAAUGUGAAUUACCCACUUUUGUUAAUUCCCGUAAACAGACUUAUUUACCUGGUUCAGGUACCACAACCACUAACUGUUUACCAGAUGGUGUUUCACUUACCAACCAGUUGUGUCCGAGUAGCGAAAGAAUAAAGAACUGAAUUUAGUCAGUUGUAAGGAAUACAGUGUAUUAAAAUUAUGCUGAAAUUAACAAAUAGAAGAUUUUUGUCUUGCAUGAAACUCUCAGCAGGAUCUUUUUCAAAUACUAAUAUAAUUUGCCAAAGGUUGUUGCCUCGUCUAUCUGCUAUGCUUAAGAAAAGUAUUUCACAAAAUCAUGGCGACUAUAAACCUAUUCCAUAGAAAAUCAAACUGAUUUUAAUCAAAGGGUCAUGAAAAGUGAUCAUCCCGUUGUUGUUGACUUCCAUGCCAAUUGGUGUGAUCCCUGUACUAAAUUAACACCCAAAAUGUGUGCUUUGUUGGAUAAUUCAGAGAAAUCGAUUUGGCCAUAAUCGAUGUGGAGAAGAAUACCGAACUUGUGGAUACUUUCAAUAUACAAUCGGUACCGACUGUCUUCACUGUUCGUAAUGGAGAAAUUGUACACAAAUUUAUUGGGCUGGUUGAGGCAAAUAUUUGAAAUCCAUGGUUGAUACAUUGAAAAGUAAAAACACCUCGAACUCCUCGAAAUGUGAAGAUGUUCCUGAAGAUACUUAAUAUUUUAAAUUACUUUAAGUUUUUUUCUCUCAAUUUUACCAGAUUUACAUUAGUUUUAGUAUUAGUUAAAAACAAAUAAAAAGAAAAUUGCCUGUCUGCAAAAA